This 253-nucleotide ribosomal RNA is filed under the name uncultured bacterium. Its description in RNAcentral is "partial 16S ribosomal RNA". It matches the Rfam family "Bacterial small subunit ribosomal RNA", at positions 524 to 776 of the family's 1533-position model. The record is from RNAcentral.
UACGUAGGGUGCGAGCGUUAAUCGGAAUUACUGGGCGUAAAGCGUGCGCAGGCGGUUUUGUAAGCCAGAUGUGAAAUCCCCGGGCUUAACCUGGGAAUGGCAUUUGGGACUGCAAGGCUUGAGUGCGGCAGAGGAGACUGGAAUUCCUGGUGUAGCAGUGAAAUGCGUAGAUAUCAGGGGGAACACCGAUGGCGAAGGCAGGUCUCUGGGCUGACACUGACGCUCAUGCACGAAAGCGUGGGGAGCGAACGGA